RNAcentral lists this ribosomal RNA (400 nucleotides) under uncultured bacterium. Its description in RNAcentral is "bacterial SSU rRNA". It matches the Rfam family "Bacterial small subunit ribosomal RNA", at positions 355 to 747 of the family's 1533-position model. The record is from RNAcentral.
UGGGGAAUUUUGGACAAUGGGCGCAAGCCUGAUCCAGCAAUGCCGCGUGCAGGAUGAAGGCCUUCGGGUUGUAAACUGCUUUUGUACGGAACGAAAAGGCUCUCACUAAUACUGGGGGUUGAUGACGGUACCGUAAGAAUAAGCACCGGCUAACUACGUGCCAGCAGCCGCGGUAAUACGUAGGGUGCGAGCGUUAAUCGGAAUUACUGGGCGUAAAGCGUGCGCAGGCGGUGAUGUAAGACAGAUGUGAAAUCCCUGGGCUCAACCUAGGAACUGCAUUUGUGACUGCAUUGCUGGAGUGCGGCAGAGGGGGAUGGAAUUCCGCGUGUAGCAGUGAAAUGCGUAGAUAUGCGGAGGAACACCGAUGGCGAAGGCAAUCCCCUGGGCCUGCACUGACGCU